CCUGCUGGGAGACGGUGGGGCCCGGCUACGAUUAGUCUGGUCGGAGGCGGCUUCCGUAUAAGAGACGUCCUGGACUCUCUUGAGCAGAGUGGCUGUCUGUCCCAUAGCAGCGAUCAGGUGUGCUCGGAUGCUGGUCCGGACUCCCUGGCACUCGGGGGUGUCAGGAAGCCGAUCUAGGUUAGCCAUGGCGACAGCCACGUUGGCGCUUGGCGUUUUGUAGACUGGCUGGUCCCCGACCAUGUCAAAGGCAUCGUUGAGAUUAUUUGGUGGCAUUUGUUGUUGC
RNAcentral lists this long non-coding RNA (283 nucleotides) under Sorghum bicolor (sorghum). RNAcentral's name for it is "long non-coding RNA (SBIC_LNC005155)". The record is from RNAcentral. Lineage: Eukaryota; Viridiplantae; Streptophyta; Magnoliopsida; Poales; Poaceae.